AACAUGUACAAACAGCUGAGAAACAAUAAUCAAAACAAGUAUGGUGCCAGUAUGCUGGUUUUUUUCAAUAAAAUACUGGAAAGGAUAGAAAUGUAGUUUGUCUCUUUUAUCCGAUUAUUAAUCGAAGUAAUAAUCGACCGAUUAAUCGAUUAUCAAAUGAAUCGUUAGUUGCAGCCCUAGUCCAGGCUAAGAUUAAUAAUACACCAAGAAAGCUUAUUGUCUUCACUUCCUGGUGUCCAACACAUAACACUUGUCAUCACAUCCUGUGUCCCCCGCCCUUAAGUGUCCCCUACAAUGGUUCCGGUAUUGACCUGAGUAACCAAUACAUGACAAUUAGAAACGUCUAAAACUGGAUUUCCACAAAAUUAGCAAAGAGAGCACCCAUUAUUAAUGAGUAUAGAUUCAUAUUGAAAUAAUACAUGAUCUUGUGGCAAUGUUCAAAAUGGUGCCUUCUGUCCAAUCACAUCGCAAGCCUUCAUGAACGAGGAAGUACUACAGUGAGUCUGUUAGCAAACACUGCUAACGCGCUAGAAUUCUAAGCUUAUUCCAGCGUACGUGACACAACAAAAACUACUUUUUUUUUAGCUCUUAUUUUCGUUAUCUAAUAAGCCACAUGAUGUAAUGUUUGUCAUGCUUGUGGGACUCAUAGCGUCCCCCAAUUCAAGAUGGCGGCAACAGGCUAACCAACACCAGGACUCUAAGCAGGCCCUUAAGUUUGCACUACCAGGACAACGUUAUCUGGACACAAACGAAGUGGAAAUCAACGAAAAAGGAACAGCUUCUUGUCCUGUGGAAAGCUUUAUUGAAGUGUUUUCAUGGAAUAUAUGCAGACAUAGCCCAAGGACAACGUUAUCUGGACACAAACGAAGUGGAAAUCAACAAAAAAGGAACAGCUUCUUGUCCUGUGGAAAGCUUUAUUGAAGUGUUAUCAUGGAUAACACGUAGCCCAAGCGAUCGGCAGAAGGACGAAGGACUUCACCCGAUGCGUUUGGCGGCCCGGGGACGUAGGAAGUCAAGGUGAGGUCGGCGGCUAGCGCGGCUAGCGCUCCAACA
Molecule: long non-coding RNA, 1053 nt
Organism: Entelurus aequoreus (snake pipefish)
Lineage: Eukaryota; Metazoa; Chordata; Actinopteri; Syngnathiformes; Syngnathidae
Exons: 3
Source: RefSeq, a predicted model, not a curated record